Molecule: non-coding RNA, 60 nt
Submitted as: unclassified sequences
Source: Rfam
UGUUAAUAGAUUGCCUCUGUCAUUACCUGCUUUUUGCGGAUAUGGGAAUGCAAUUGAUGA